CCCUCCAAACGAUAAGAAUCGGAGGGGACGGAGGGAGUAAUAUAUUAAAUCACACUUUAAGCCAAAAAUAACUUAAUGUAUCCUUUAUAAUAUAUUAAAUAAUACUUUUAGAGGGGAAAACAAUCCUAAAAUUAUAUAUUGAAAUUCAAAAUUUAUGUUUCAUAGGCAGAAUUCCAGGCUAGUACUUUUUAUUUGGGCCUAAAAUUCUUUUUUUUGUUAUGGGUUAGUACUUUUGGGCCUUAAAAGUGACCCAAAAUUCUUUUUUUUGUUAUAGGUUAGUACUUUUGGGCCUUAAAAGUGGCCCAAUAACAUUAAAUAUCUUAUCAUGCGCUUAGCUUCGCUAAAGCGCGCUUUUCUACCGCUCCGUGCUUAAGCGCGCUUUGUGCUUCAAGGCUAAAAGCGUGCGCUUCAUUGAAGUUGCUUUGCCUCGACAUAUAUGAGGCGCUAAGGGUGCGCUUUGCUUCGCUUUGCGCCUAGGCGCUCGCCUAGGCGCGCUUUUCACAACACUGGCCAUGCCUAUCAUCUAUUGGAACUUGAAGUUUUAAGAACUGG
RNAcentral lists this long non-coding RNA (552 nucleotides) under Daucus carota (carrot). RNAcentral's name for it is "long non-coding RNA (DCAR_LNC003769)". The record is from RNAcentral. Lineage: Eukaryota; Viridiplantae; Streptophyta; Magnoliopsida; Apiales; Apiaceae.